Non-coding RNA from Apaloderma vittatum (bar-tailed trogon), 74 nucleotides. The record is from Rfam. Lineage: Eukaryota; Metazoa; Chordata; Aves; Trogoniformes; Trogonidae.
AGCCAGUUAGCUCAGUCGGUUUGAGUGUGGUGCUGAUAACACCAAGGUUGCGGGUUCGAUGCCCAUUCAGUCCC